GAUCAUGGCUCAGGAUGAACGCUGGCGGCGCGCCUAACACAUGCAAGUCGAACGGCACCUAUCUUCGGAUAGAAGCGAGUGGCGAACGGCUGAGUAACACGUGGAGAACCUGCCCCCCUCCCCCGGGAUAGCCGCCCGAAAGGACGGGUAAUACCGGAUACCCCGGGGUGCCGCAUGGCACCCCGGCUAAAGCCCCCGACGGGAGGGGAUGGCUCCGCGGCCCAUCAGGUAGACGGCGGGGUGACGGCCCACCGUGCCGACAACGGGUAGCCGGG
Molecule: ribosomal RNA, 275 nt
Filed under: uncultured bacterium
Lineage: Bacteria
Description: partial 16S ribosomal RNA
Rfam family: Bacterial small subunit ribosomal RNA
Source: RNAcentral